This 310-nucleotide unclassified non-coding RNA is filed under the name plant metagenome. RNAcentral's name for it is "partial contains 5.8S ribosomal RNA, internal transcribed spacer 2, and large subunit ribosomal RNA". The stretch from base 1 to 105 matches the Rfam family "5.8S ribosomal RNA", at positions 50 to 154 of the family's 154-position model. The record is from RNAcentral.
GAAAUGCGCUAAGUAGUGUGAAUUGCAGAAUUCAGUGAAUCAUCGAAUCUUUGAACGCACAUUGCGCCCCUUGGUAUUCCAUGGGGCAUGCCUGUUCGAGCGUCAUUUGUACCCUCAAGCUCUGCUUGGUGUUGGGUGUUUGUCCCCGUCUCCGCGCGUGGACUCGCCCCAAAGUGAUUGGCAGCCGGCGUACUGGUCCCGGAGCGCAGCACAUGUCGCGCAAACGAGUGCCUUGGUACGGCGGCGUCCAUAAGCCCCUCUCUCACGCUCUUGACCUCGGAUCAGGUAGGGAUACCCGCUGAACUUAAGC